UACGUAGGGGGCUAGCGUUAUCCGGAUUUACUGGGCGUAAAGGGUGCGUAGGUGGUUUCUUAAGUCAGGAGUGAAAGGCUACGGCUCAACCGUAGUAAGCUCUUGAAACUGGGAAACUUGAGUGCAGGAGAGGAAAGUGGAAUUCCUAGUGUAGCGGUGAAAUGCGUAGAUAUUAGGAGGAACACCAGUAGCGAAGGCGGCUUUCUGGACUGUAACUGACACUGAGGCACGAAAGCGUGGGGAGCAAACAGG
Molecule: ribosomal RNA, 252 nt
Filed under: uncultured Clostridium sp.
Lineage: Bacteria; Bacillati; Bacillota; Clostridia; Eubacteriales; Clostridiaceae
Also listed under: 3 other names
Description: partial 16S ribosomal RNA
Rfam family: Bacterial small subunit ribosomal RNA
Source: RNAcentral